RNAcentral lists this ribosomal RNA (274 nucleotides) under uncultured Pseudomonas sp. RNAcentral's name for it is "partial 16S ribosomal RNA". It matches the Rfam family "Bacterial small subunit ribosomal RNA", at positions 1109 to 1382 of the family's 1533-position model. The record is from RNAcentral. Lineage: Bacteria; Pseudomonadati; Pseudomonadota; Gammaproteobacteria; Pseudomonadales; Pseudomonadaceae.
CCUUAGUUACCAGCACGUUAUGGUGGGCACUCUAAGGAGACUGCCGGUGCAAACCGGAGGAAAGGUGGGGAUGACGUCAAGUCAUCAUGGCCCUUACGGCCUGGGCUACACACGUGCUACAAUGGUCGGUACAAAGGGUUGCCAAGCCGCGAGGUGGAGCUAAUCCCAUAAAACCGAUCGUAGUCCGGAUCGCAGUCUGCAACUCGACUGCGUGAAGUCGGAAUCGCUAGUAAUCGUGAAUCAGAAUGUCACGGUGAAUACGUUCCCGGGCCUU